UAUCCUGGCAGCAGCUGAUUCUACAGCUGCAGAAGUGGCCGCCAUUUCCUGCUCCACGAGAUCUCCCAGCUCUCCUUGCUGCAGCUCCAGACCCCGAGGACGCAGUUUCUGCAUCCAAGAUUGAAGACAUCAAAGCAUUUCCUGCCGACACGCUGCUUACACGAGGAAAAGCGGCCGUGGCUGAGGACAGCGGAAGCCACGCCCCCAGAGGCUUGACGAACCGCUGGACAUCCGUGUAAACAGGGCGUUCAAAGUGAAGUGAGCGGCGUGGGAGCCAUGGAUGACAGAUGGCAAACAGCUUUACUAAGACUAGGAGGCAGUGCCGGCUUUCGCACGGCAACGAGACUGACUCAAACCUGGCGUGUUUGAUUGAGAACUUGCCCAGCUGUUCAUUUCGGAUACAGAAGAUGAGGACUUUGAUGGAUUUGUGGAUGAGGAUUGAUCAAAAAAUAACGUGACU
Long non-coding RNA from Phyllopteryx taeniolatus (common seadragon), 460 nucleotides. RefSeq lists it as uncharacterized. The transcript has 4 exons. The record is from RefSeq and is a predicted model, not a curated record. NCBI's taxonomy places the organism in Eukaryota, Metazoa, Chordata, Actinopteri, Syngnathiformes, Syngnathidae.